GACGAACGCUGGCGGCGUGCUUAACACAUGCAAGUCGAACGGAAAGGCCCCUUUGGGGGUACUCGAGUGGCGAACGGGUGAGUAACACGUGAGUAACCUGCCCUUGACUUCGGGAUAACUUCAGGAAACUGGGGCUAAUACCGGAUAGGAAUCCUUGCUGCAUGGUGGGGGUUGGAAAGCUUCUGCGGUUUUGGAUGGACUCGCGGCUUAUCAGCUUGUUGGUGGGGUAGUGGCUUACCAAGGCUUUGACGGGUAGCCGGCCUGAGAGGGCGACCGGCCACAUUGGGACUGAGAUACGGCCCAGAAUCCUAAGGGAGGCAGCAGUGGGGAAUAUUGCAACAUGGGCGGAAGCCCGAUGCAGCAACGCCGCGUGCGGGAUGACGGCCUUCGGGUUGUAAACCGCUUUCAGCAGGGGCGAAGCUUGUGGUGACGGUACCUGCAGAAGAAGCACCGGCUAACUACGUG
RNAcentral lists this ribosomal RNA (465 nucleotides) under uncultured bacterium. Its description in RNAcentral is "partial 16S ribosomal RNA". It matches the Rfam family "Bacterial small subunit ribosomal RNA", at positions 28 to 507 of the family's 1533-position model. The record is from RNAcentral.